Molecule: ribosomal RNA, 511 nt
Filed under: uncultured bacterium
Lineage: Bacteria
Description: bacterial SSU rRNA
Rfam family: Bacterial small subunit ribosomal RNA
Source: RNAcentral
AACGAACGCUGGCGGCGUGCUUAACACAUGCAAGUCGAACGCGAAAGGGACUUCGGUCCUGAGUAAAGUGGCGCACGGGUGAGUAACGCGUAGAUAACCUGUCUUCAUGUCUGGAAUAAUACGCCGAAAGGGGUACUAAUACCGGAUAUUCUUGCUUUUCAUAAGUUAUGCAAGCAAAGGUGGCCUCUGCAUAUGCUACUGCAUGGAGAGGGGUCUGCGUACCAUUAGCUAGUAGGUGGGGUAAUGGCCUACCUAGGCGACGAUGGUUAGCGGGUCUGAGAGGAUGAUCCGCCACACUGGCACUGGAACACGGGCCAGACUCCUACGGGAGGCAGCAGUGAGGAAUAUUGCGCAAUGGGGGAAACCCUGACGCAGCGACGCCGCGUGAGUGAGGAAAGGCCUUCGGGUCGUAAAGCUCUGUCAAGAGGAAAGAAGUGUACAAUGGCUAAUACCUGUUGUAUUUGACGGUACCUCUAAAGGAAGCACCGGCUAACUCCGUGCCAGCAGCAGC